This 289-nucleotide long non-coding RNA is filed under the name Carica papaya (papaya). RNAcentral's name for it is "long non-coding RNA (CPAP_LNC005961)". The record is from RNAcentral. Lineage: Eukaryota; Viridiplantae; Streptophyta; Magnoliopsida; Brassicales; Caricaceae.
AAACUAACUCAGAUGCAUCUAUUGAAUUAGAGAGUGAGAUGUAGAAAGGUAAUAGAGAAGGUUCCAAAUGUUUUGAUUUUUCUCCUCCAGCACAUAUCAGAAUUCAACUAAAGAAAAGUUGACAUUCUCAAUAGUGUGCAUUUUCUUUCAUUACAUAAAGAUAACUAAACAAGGUUAUAUCAUAUAUUCCUAGCAACAAAGAACAAAUUCCUUUUUUGUUCCACAAAACUAUUAAUUCUCAUAAUCAUGAUUUGAAAGUAAAUACUUGCUUUUGGUAGGUGAAUACAAA